ACAGAGGGUGCAAACGUUGUUCGGAAUUACUGGGCGUAAAGCGUGUGUAGGCGGUCAUGUAGGUCGGAUGUGAAAGCCCCAGGCUCAACCUGGGAAGUGCACCCGAAACCGCACGACUUGAGUAUCGGAGAGGUUGGUGGAAUUCUCGGUGUAGAGGUGAAAUUCGUAGAUAUCGAGAGGAACACCGGCGGCGAAGGCGGCCAACUGGACGAAUACUGACGCUGAGACACGAAAGCGUGGGGAGCAAACAGGAUUAGAUACCCUGGUAGUCCACGCCGUAAACGAUGGGUGCUAGGUGUCACGGGCUUUGACUCCUGUGGUGCCGUAGCUAACGCAUUAAGCACCCCGCCUGGGAAGUACGGCCGCAAGGCUA
RNAcentral lists this ribosomal RNA (373 nucleotides) under uncultured bacterium. RNAcentral's name for it is "bacterial SSU rRNA". It matches the Rfam family "Bacterial small subunit ribosomal RNA", at positions 525 to 896 of the family's 1533-position model. The record is from RNAcentral.